UGCUGAGCGUGCACGAGCGUGUCCUGCAGACUCGUACACUAAAGAGCAUUUCCCCAAAGUUUAUUGCAUUGUUAAUCUUCGUUUCCUAAUAGGGCAAUUAACGCUGGAGAAUAUAACUUGACCCGCUGUUCAGAAGGAUUGCGGAGAAGUUUGGUUGUACUGUAAUAGGUAAAGMCCCUGUAUGACACGCGUGACCUGACAACACUGCUAGAAAACCCAGUUCAUUUCUUUAUUCUAAUAGAGAAGAAAAAUUGUUCUUAUCCAUAAUUUAAUUGUACAUUGGACCUACAUUUUUCCUAAAGUUCUCGGCGGACACAACAUCUUUGUUGGUAUGUGG
Molecule: non-coding RNA, 337 nt
Organism: Urocitellus parryii (Arctic ground squirrel)
Lineage: Eukaryota; Metazoa; Chordata; Mammalia; Rodentia; Sciuridae
Source: RefSeq, a predicted model, not a curated record